RNAcentral lists this unclassified non-coding RNA (1461 nucleotides) under Gigantopelta aegis. Its description in RNAcentral is "tropomyosin, transcript variant X21". The record is from RNAcentral. Lineage: Eukaryota; Metazoa; Mollusca; Gastropoda; Neomphalida; Peltospiridae.
UGUGGCAGCCAACUUUUGUAUGUGGGAUCUGUUGAUACUCAGAUAAGUUGUCCACGUGCGGUGUAAACAUUCCUGGCACUCUGUGUGCCAUAGUUUGAGGAUCCGAAUGUGGAAAGGUUUUAAAACCAGGACAGUUUCAGCUAAACUGAAACUCGGGAAAUGGGAGACAAUUUACUUGCUGUGGAUGAACCGGAGUAUGCUGCGAGUACGGAACUUUCGCAGGACUCCAACGCUUCUAGCCACGAUCUGUCACAGGGAUCAUCGUGUGCAUAUGUGUUAGAGACUCUCCCGAGCAGCGGAACUAAAACGAAAAAGAAAAAAGGGACCAAAAAGAAAAAGAAAAAGGAGAAAUCUUCCAAGGAGAGAAAUGAAGACGGAGAAGACAGUUCGAAAACGAGAACUAGCCGGGCGUCUGCUAACCGCAGAAACAGCAGUAGCAGACGGCCCGAACCAGAGGGCGGGAACUCUCCCGUUAGUUUCAGUGUGGAAGAAUAUGAUCGGAUUAUUUAUAGUGACGCUCCAUUGUUUCCAGAUGUCGAAAUUACCGCGGAUGACUUAAUUUCUAAUGAGGGGAGGCGGUCCCGCACUCAGCGACUAUCCAGGGACGGCGUCGUAAUGAUACCCUGCGCCCAACUUGGCAUCACCUCCAAUACCAUGAUAAAAUUCGCCAUCAUUGGAACCGAGUUACACAAUGUCGUACAGGUGGCGUUAAAACGGAUGGAGACAGAAAUCAACGGCAUGAACCGCCGUGUACAGCUUCUAGAGGAAGACAUGGAGAGGAAUGAGGAGAGACUUCAGACAGCCACCGAGCGUCUCGAGGAGGCAUCAAAAGCUGCAGAUGAGAGUGAGAGAGGUCGUAAGGUGCUGGAGAGCCGCACCCAGGCUGAUGAGGAGCGUCUGGAGUUCCUGGAGAAACAGCUCGAAGAAGCCAAGUGGAUUGCUGAGGAUGCCGACCGCAAAUACGAUGAGGCCGCCCGUAAACUAGCGAUCACAGAAGUGGACUUAGAGCGUGCUGAAGCUCGCCUGGAGGCCGCAGAAGCGAAAAUCCUUGAACUGGAGGAGGAGCUGAAGGUUGUUGGCAACAAUAUGAAAUCACUGGAAAUCAGUGAACAAGAGGCUUCUCAGAGGGAGGAUAGCUACGAAGAGACCAUCAGGGACUUGACACAAAGACUUAAAGAUGCUGAGAACCGUUCGACUGAGGCGGAAAGAACCGUAUCUAAGUUGCAAAAAGAGGUGGACAGACUGGAAGAAGGAGAUAAGGCUAGAGAACGCAGAGAGGGAAAUCAGUCUCCUGCAGCUUGAGAAUGAUAAGCUUCAUGAGGAGCUGCAGGAACAAAGGGAGAGAAAUCGGUCACUACAACUCGACAUGGAGCAGACGCUGUCAGAUCUCCAGAAUCUGUGAUGAGCUUUUGGCCGAGAAGGAGAAGUACAAGGCGAUUAGUGACGAGCUUGAUCAGACCU